Molecule: ribosomal RNA, 941 nt
Filed under: uncultured archaeon
Lineage: Archaea
Description: bacterial SSU rRNA
Rfam family: Archaeal small subunit ribosomal RNA
Source: RNAcentral
UCCGGUUGAUCCUGCCGGACCUGACUGCUAUUGGGGUAAGGCUAAGCCAUGGGAGCCGAACGCCCUAUCACUAUAGGGCGUGACGCACGGCUGAGUAACACGUAGCUAACCUACCCUCGGGACUGGGAUAACUCCGGGAAACUGGAGCUAAACCCGGAUAGGUGAGGAGUCCUGGAAUGGUUCCUCACUUAAAGAGAUCUUAGGGGGUUACUGCCUAAGAUCUGCCCGAGGAUGGGGCUACGGCCCAUCAUGGUAGUUGGCGGGGUAAUGGCCCGCCAAGCCUACGACGGGUAGGGGCCCUGGGAGGGGGAGCCCCCAGAUGGACCCUGAGACAAGGGUCCAGGCCCUACGGGGCGCACCAGGCGCGAAACCUCUGCAAUGCGGGAAACCGUGACAGGGUUACCCCAAGUGCUCCCGUUAAGGGAGCUUUUCCUCGCUGUAAGGGGGCGAGGGAAUAAGCGGGGGGCAAGACUGGUGUCAGCCGCCGCGGUAAUACCAGCCCCGCGAGUGGUCAGGACGAUUACUGGGCCUAAAGCGCCCGUAGCCGGUCUAGCAAGUCCUCUCUGAAAGCUCCGGGCCUAACCCGGAGAGUGGAGAGGAUACUGCUAGGCUAGGGGGCGGGAAAGGCCGGGGGUACUCCUAGGGUAGGGGCGAAAUCCGAUAAUCCUAGGAGGACCACCAGUGGCGAAGGCGCCCGGCUGGAACGCGCCCGACGGUGAGGGGCGAAAGCUGGGGGAGCGAACCGGAUUAGAUACCCGGGUAGUCCCAGCUGUAAACGAUGCAGGCUAGGUGUUAGAUGGGCGUUAGUGCCCAUCUAGUGCCGCAGGGAAGCCGUUAAGCCUGCCGCCUGGGGAGUACGGCCGCAAGGCUGAAACUUAAAGGAAUUGGCGGGGGGGCACACAAGGGGUGGAGCCUGCGGCUCAAUUGGAGUCAACGCCGGG